RNAcentral lists this ribosomal RNA (400 nucleotides) under uncultured bacterium. Its description in RNAcentral is "bacterial SSU rRNA". It matches the Rfam family "Bacterial small subunit ribosomal RNA", at positions 356 to 773 of the family's 1533-position model. The record is from RNAcentral.
GGGGAAUAUUGCACAAUGGGCGAAAGCCUGAUGCAGCAACGCCGCGUGAGUGAUGAAGGUUUUCGAAUCGUAAAGCUCUUUGAUCAGGGAUGAUAAUGACAGUACCUGAAAAACAAGCCACGGCUAACUACGUGCCAGCAGCCGCGGUAAUACGUAGGUGGCGAGCGUUGUCCGGAAUUACUGGGCGUAAAGGAUGCGUAGGUGGAUAGUUAAGUGGGAUGUGAAAUCCCCGGGCUCAACCCGGGAACUGCAUACCAAACUGGUUAUCUAGAGUGUAGGAGAGGAAAGUAGAAUUCAUAGUGUAGCGGUGAAAUGCGUAGAUAUUAUGAGGAAUACCAGUGGCGAAGGCGACUUUCUGGACUAUAACUGACACUGAGGCAUGAAAGCGUGGGUAGCAAAC